CAAAAGCAGCCCUGUGGCACAACAUGCAGGCUGGUGUGACAGGCAGAACUGACUUUUGUCCUUGUUAAACUUUUGUUGAUACUUUAUCUUAUACAACACACAGUAAAUAUUCUUUUCCAUCCAAGAAAGUCAGGGACCCAUGGGCGGUGUGACAUUCCUCUACAUUUACAUCAUAUGGCUGAUCACUUCUGUUGAUGCUCAGGUCAUAUCUGCCCGAGUGGGUUCCACAGCUGUCCUGCCCUGUGAACUGAGUAACACAUCCAAGCCGACAGUGUAUAUUCAAUGGCGCACUGAUUUUGCUGUUGUGUUUGAAAGAACGAGAAGGAAUUUAUACCAGGGUGAAAGAUAUACAGGCCGUGUGUACGUUCCUGAGAAGCAGCUGCUGAAAGGGAACUGUUCUCUGGUGCUGAAGAACGUGUGGUUUGAUGAUGCUGGAGUUUACUACAGCUACCUGUUCGUGAAACGCAGAAAGAGAUCUGUCACUCAUUUCAUCCAGAGAGUCGAACUCGAAGUUUAUGGUAAGUUUUUUUUAAUAGUACACUCUAAAAUAGCUUGCUUAAGAAUAAUUCAUUUUGGUGAAUUUGGAAACCUAGCAUGAGCUGUUUUAACUCAGCGAGGUUGGGUGAGGAGGUUGACCAGCAUGCUGGAGUGAUUUAACCCAACUUUCACUCGAGCUGUUAUGGUUACAAUGUGUAGGUUACAUCACGGGUUUUUUAAAUCAACAUAAAUGAGUGUGAAAGCAGCCUUACUCGACUAAAACAGUGCAACCUGUGAUUUACAGCUGCACUACAGUCAGAGCUGCUGUUAUAGUAAAUUAAUCAACACCUUCUGACCAAUCAUAAUCCAGAAUUCAACAGCGCUGUGAUAUAAAAUAAGAUACACUUCUUCAAUUAAGAUAUUAAUAUGUAUUUUAUUGUGCUUGUCAAAUCUUAGAGGAAUUUUCAGUAAGUCCAUUUUGCACUGUCUUCUUGAUAUGAUAAAAUAAUGAGAUGGACAAGUCCUUAACCAAUAGGAAGUCAGUGAGAGGAAGUGGGCGGAGUUAAAAACAAUACAGAACAGAGCAGGACUGGGAUGAGGAAACACUGGAAUGCAAUUUUUUUGUGUUCUUGGCCUAAACAUGUUUCUGAUCUAGAGCUACAUUUUAGAUUAAUUGUUGGAAAAAGUUCCUAAAAAAUUAACUUCUUUCUUUUUCUUGUUUGUUUCCU
Pangasianodon hypophthalmus (striped catfish) is the source of this 1205-nucleotide long non-coding RNA. RefSeq lists it as uncharacterized. Lineage: Eukaryota; Metazoa; Chordata; Actinopteri; Siluriformes; Pangasiidae. The transcript is spliced from 3 exons. The record is from RefSeq and is a predicted model, not a curated record.